RNAcentral lists this ribosomal RNA (1232 nucleotides) under metagenome. RNAcentral's name for it is "SSU rRNA". It matches the Rfam family "Eukaryotic small subunit ribosomal RNA", at positions 477 to 1735 of the family's 1831-position model. The record is from RNAcentral.
AUACUGAUACGGGGCUCUUUCGGGUCUCGUAAUUGGAAUGAGUACAAUCUAAACCCCUUAACGAGGAACAAUUGGAGGGCAAGUCUGGUGCCAGCAGCCGCGGUAAUUCCAGCUCCAAUAGCGUAUAUUAAAGUUGUUGCCGUUAAAAAGCUCGUAGUUGAACCUUGGACCUGGCUGAUCUGUCCUCCUAAUCGAGCGCACGGAUUCGGUCGGGUCUUUCCUUCUGGGGAGCCCUAUGCCCUUCACUGGGUGUAGUGGGGAACCAGGACUUUUACCUUGAAAAAAUUAGAGUGUUCAAAGCAGGCCUUUGCUCGAAUACAUUAGCAUGGAAUAAUAGAAUAGGACAUCGGUUCUAUUUUGUUGGUUUCUAGGACCGCUGUAAUGAUUAAUAGUGAUAGUCGGGGGCGUCAGUAUUCAAUUGUCAGAGGUGAAAUUCUUGGAUUUAUUGAAGACUAACUACUGCGAAAGCAUUCGCCAAGGAUGUUUUCAUUAAUCAGUGAACGAAAGUUAGGGGAUCGAAGACGAUCAGAUACCGUCGUAGUCUUAACCAUAAACUAUGCCGACUAGGGAUCGGACGGUGGUUUUUUUAUGCCCCGUUCGGCACCUUACGAGAAAUCAAAGUUUUUGGGCUCGGGGGGGAGUAUGGUCGCAAGGCUGAAACUUAAAGAAAUUGACGGAAGGGCACCACCAGGCGUGGAGCCUGCGGCUUAAUUUGACCCAACACGGGGAAACUCACCAGGUCCAGACAUGCUUAGGAUUGACAGAUUGAUAGCUCUUUCUUGAUUGUAUGGGUGGUGGUGCAUGGCCGUUCUUAGUUGGUGGAGUGAUUUGUCUGCUUAAUUGCGAUAACGAACGAGACCUUGACCUGCUAAAUAGCCAGGUUGACUUUUGUCGGCCGCCGGCUUCUUAGAGGGACUUUUGGCUCAAGCCAAUGGAAGUACGAGGCAAUAACAGGUCUGUGAUGCCCUUAGAUGUUCUGGGCCGCACGCGCGCUACACUGACAGAGCCAGCGAGUACAUCACCUUGGCCGAAAGGUCUGGGUAAUCUUGUUAAACUCUGUCGCGCUGGGGAUAGAGCAUUGCAAUUAUUGCUCUUCAACGAGGAAUGCCUAGUAAGCGCAAGUCAUCAGCUUGCGUUGAUUACGUCCCUGCCCUUUGUACACACCGCCCGUCGCUACUACCGAUUGAAUGGCUCAGUGAGGCCUUGGGACUGGCUCAGAGAGGUCGGCAACG